UUCUUCUUCUUCGUCUUCUUCUUCAUUUUUAAUUUUCACAUCUCGCAGCAAUUCAUCUUGAUCUGUGGAAGCCAUUGAAGAAGGAACUGUAUCCAAACAUUUAUCUUCGAUUGUUGACAUGUUGGGUUCAUUGGUUGCGGCUUGUUUAGCCAAGGAGGACUUAAUUCUGGUUCUGCCAGCGAGGGAAUUUCUGCGAGUAGGUUGCGCAUGGCUGUGCUCAGCAGUGUAGGUUAUGAUGAAUACUGAUGGAUCUGUACUACUUCUUUCUACUUGUUUUCUUGCCAAGCAUCCUUUUAAACUGCUACACCUAUAAUAGCUCCUUGGAUAUGGAGAUCCCUUGAUGGGUUUCUGCCCAUAUUUGCGCCAAGCCCACAUAUCAGAUGAGAGACCAUCUGACUUGACAUGUUUAACCACCCUUUUUUGCUGAUUCUUCCUCCCUUUUGAUUUGGCUGCCACGGAAGCAUCAUCACUUCUGCUUGCAGGAGUAGCAGAUUCAGAAAGAGAGUGUUUCUUCUGCAGUUUCUCUGGCUCUUCGUCCUCACAGAUGGGAAUAGACAUAGAACUUAUGACACUAAGGUUGCUAUGGGUGGAAAGUGACUGCUGGUGCAACACAGGGUACAAGGGGUCGUAAAUUUCUUCCUGUCUAUAAAAAUCAGUUGUGGAUUCAAAGAUUUCAGGGAAACUAAAAAGCUCAUCUCGUUCAAGAUUCAGAGGAGUGAACAGAGAUGGUGGGUUGUUCACGAUAUUUGCAAAAGCUUCAGUAGUGGAUCCGCUCACCACAGCUCGCAGAUCCCAGUCUUCCAUGAAAGCAAACUCACCCAUCAACCAAGAUUACAGUGUAAACACAGAAAGAAAAAGAGGUGCAGCCGCUGACUUUCUG
Molecule: unclassified non-coding RNA, 880 nt
Filed under: Hevea brasiliensis (rubber tree)
Lineage: Eukaryota; Viridiplantae; Streptophyta; Magnoliopsida; Malpighiales; Euphorbiaceae
Source: RNAcentral